Molecule: transfer RNA, 71 nt
Filed under: Megalops atlanticus (tarpon)
Lineage: Eukaryota; Metazoa; Chordata; Actinopteri; Elopiformes; Megalopidae
Description: tRNA-OTHER
Source: RNAcentral
ACCAGUGUAGCAUAGUGGUAAGGAGCAGGACUCGUAACCGAAAGGUUGCUGGUUCGAUCCUCCCGCUGGGG